Molecule: ribosomal RNA, 311 nt
Filed under: uncultured bacterium
Lineage: Bacteria
Description: bacterial SSU rRNA
Rfam family: Bacterial small subunit ribosomal RNA
Source: RNAcentral
GACGAACGCUGGCGGCGCGCCUAACACAUGCAAGUCGAACGGAGAUGGGAAAGCUUGCUUUUCCAUUUUAGUGGCGGACGGGUGAGUAACACGUGAGCAACCUGCCUUUCAGAGGGGGAUAACGUUUGGAAACGAACGCUAAUACCGCAUAACAUAUUCUUGUGGCAUCACAGGGAUAUCAAAGGAGCAAUCCGCUGAGAGAUGGGCUCGCGGCCGAUUAGAUAGUUGGCGGGGUAAGGGCCCACCAAGUCGACGAUCGGUAGCCGGACUGAGAGGUUGAACGGCCACAUUGGGACUGAGACACGGCCCAG